GUGUCAGCAGCCGCGGUAAUACGUAGGUGGCGAGCGUUAUCCGGAUUUAUUGGGCGUAAAGUGGGCGCAGACGGUCUGGUAAGUCAGAUGUAAAAUCUCUCGGCCUAACCGGGUGGUUGCAUUUGAUACUGUUAGACUAGAGGACAACAGAGGGAGGUAGAAUUCCCGGUGUAGUGGUGAAAUGCGUAGAUAUCGGGAGGAAUACCAGUGGCGAAGGCGGCCUCCUGGGUUGUUUCUGACGUUCAUGCCCGAAGGUGUGGGGAGCAAACAGGAUCAGAUACCCUGGUAGUCCACACUGUAAACGAUGGACACUAGGUAUAGGGAGUAUCGACCCUCUCUGUGCCAAAGCCAACGCGUUAAGUGUCCCGUCUGGGGAGUACGGCCGCAAGGCUAAA
Molecule: ribosomal RNA, 395 nt
Filed under: uncultured bacterium
Lineage: Bacteria
Description: bacterial SSU rRNA
Rfam family: Bacterial small subunit ribosomal RNA
Source: RNAcentral